GACGAACGCUGGCGGCGUGCUUAACACAUGCAAGUCGAACGGAAAGGCCCUGCUUUUGUUGGGCGCUCGAGUGGCGAACGGGUGAGUAACACGUGAGUAAACUGCCCCUGACUGUCUGAGAACUUCAGGAAACAGGGGCGAAUAUCGGAUAGGAGCUCCUGCAGCAUGGUGUUGGUUGGAAAGAGUCGGCGGUGGGGGAUGGACUAGCGGCUUAUCAGCUUGUUUGUGAGGUAGUGGCUUACCAAGGGUUUGACGGGUAGCCGGCCUGAGAGGGUUAACGGCCACCAUGGGCCUGAGAGACGCACCAGAAGCCUACGGGAGGCAGCAGUGGGGAACAUUGCACAAUGGGCGGAAGCCUGAUGUAGCAACGCUGGGUGCGGGAUGACGUCCUUCGGGUUGUAAACAGAUUUCGAAUGUGACGAAGCGUGCGUGACGGUAAUGGGUAAAGAAGCACCGGCUAACUACGUG
RNAcentral lists this ribosomal RNA (468 nucleotides) under uncultured bacterium. RNAcentral describes it as "partial 16S ribosomal RNA". It matches the Rfam family "Bacterial small subunit ribosomal RNA", at positions 28 to 507 of the family's 1533-position model. The record is from RNAcentral.